CAACGUAUGCAAUCUACCCUCAACAGGAGGAUAGCUCCCCGAAAGGGGAAUUAAGACUCCAUAAGAUGGAGGAGUGGCAUCACUUUUCUAUUAAACUACCAGGGGUUGAGGAUGAGCAUGCGCAUGAUUAGUUAGUUGGCGGGGUAAAGGCCCACCAAGACGAUGAUCAUUAGGGGAACUGAGAGGUUGAUCCCCCACACUGGCACUGAGAUACGGGCCAG
RNAcentral lists this ribosomal RNA (221 nucleotides) under uncultured bacterium. RNAcentral's name for it is "partial 16S ribosomal RNA". It matches the Rfam family "Bacterial small subunit ribosomal RNA", at positions 113 to 334 of the family's 1533-position model. The record is from RNAcentral.